UACAGAGGGUGCAAGCGUUAAUCGGAAUUACUGGGCGUAAAGCGUGCGUAGACGGUUAUGUAAGUCAGGUGUGAAAGCCCCGGGCUCAACCUGGGAAUUGCAUUUGAGACUGCAUAGCUAGGGUGCGGAAGAGGGAAGCGGAAUUUCCGGUGUAGCGGUGAAAUGCGUAGAUAUCGGAAGGAACACCAGUGGCGAAAGCGGCUUCCUGGUCCAGCACCGACGUCAGGCACGAAAGCGUGGGGAGCAAACAGGG
RNAcentral lists this ribosomal RNA (253 nucleotides) under uncultured bacterium. RNAcentral's name for it is "partial 16S ribosomal RNA". It matches the Rfam family "Bacterial small subunit ribosomal RNA", at positions 524 to 777 of the family's 1533-position model. The record is from RNAcentral.